This 429-nucleotide ribosomal RNA is filed under the name Acidobacteriota bacterium. RNAcentral's name for it is "Acidobacteria bacterium partial 16S ribosomal RNA". It matches the Rfam family "Bacterial small subunit ribosomal RNA", at positions 355 to 776 of the family's 1533-position model. Lineage: Bacteria; Pseudomonadati; Acidobacteriota. The record is from RNAcentral.
UGGGGAAUUUUGGACAAUGGGGGAAACCCUGAUCCAGCCAUCCCGCGUGUGCGAUGAAGGCCUUCGGGUUGUAAAGCACUUUUGGCAGGAAAGAAACGUCAUGGGUUAAUACCCCGUGAAACUGACGGUACCUGCAGAAUAAGCACCGGCUAACUACGUGCCAGCAGCCGCGGUAAUACGUAGGGUGCAAGCGUUAAUCGGAAUUACUGGGCGUAAAGCGUGCGCAGGCGGUUCGGAAAGAAAGAUGUGAAAUCCCAGAGCUCAACUUUGGAACUGCAGUUUGAACUACCGGGCUAGAGUGUGUCAGAGGCAGGUGGAAUUCCGCGUGUAGCAGUGAAAUGCGUAGAUAUGCGGAGGAACACCGAUGGCGAAGGCAGCCUCCUGGGAUAAAACUGACGCUCAUGCACGAAAGCGUGGGGAGCAAACAGG